This 724-nucleotide ribosomal RNA is filed under the name uncultured fungus. RNAcentral's name for it is "eukaryotic LSU rRNA". The stretch from base 348 to 501 matches the Rfam family "5.8S ribosomal RNA". The record is from RNAcentral. Lineage: Eukaryota; Fungi.
CAUUAUUGAAUACUGAAUCGGUUCUGAUGCUGGCUCUUUACUGGGCAUGUGCUCGUCCGUUCAUAUUUACCUUCUCUUGUGCACAUUUUGUAGUCCUUUGGAACAAGUGAAUUUCGCGCUGCUGUGAUUAACUUCGCGGUGGUUGCGGUUUGAGGGAUUGGGUGUAACAGCCCUUCCUCUGUUUAUGCGCGUUGCAGCGAUUUACUUCGUGGUGACUGCGGUUUGGGGGUUGAGCGUCAGCACUUCCCCUGCUUUUGCUUUUUCCAAGGCUACGUUUUCAUAUACCCUAUACAAUGUUACAGAAUGUCUUUAAAGAUUGUGCUUGGUCGCAGUCACUAAACCUAUACAACUUUCAGCAACGGAUCUCUUGGCUCUCCCAUCGAUGAAGAACGCAGCGAAAUGCGAUAAGUAAUGUGAAUUGCAGAAUUCAGUGAAUCAUCGAAUCUUUGAACGCACCUUGCGCCCUUUGGUAUUCCGAAGGGCAUGCCUGUUUGAGUGUCAUUAAAUUAUCAACCUUGUUCGCUUUUACGAGCUUGAGCGAGGCUUGGAUGUGAGGGCUUGCUGGCUUCCUUCAGUGGAUGGUCUGCUCCCUUUAAAUGCAUUAGUGGGAUCUCUUGUGGACCGUCACUUGGUGUGAUAAUUAUCUAUGCCAUUUGACUGUGAAGCAAAAUUAUGGGAACCUGCUUAUAACCGUCUCGCAAGGGACAAUUUAAUUGACUAUUUG